UGCCUGUUUUGCCCCAAACCAUGCAUUUUUCUCCCUUUCCUCCUCAAACUCUGCCUGUUUUGCCCCAAACCAUGCAUUUUUCUCCCUUUCCUCCUCAAACUCUGCCUGUUUUGCCCCAAACUGCGCAUUUCUCUCCCUUUUCUGCCCAAACCAUGCAUUUCUCUCCCCAAACCCUGCCUGUUUUGCCCCAAACCGUGUAUUUUUCUCCAUUUUCUCCCCCAACCUUGCCCGUUUUGCCCCAAACCCUUCAUUUUUCUCCCCAAACCCCCUCCCUGCCCGCAGAUCAUGGCGACGGAGCCCUUGCACUGGGCCUGGCUGCGCGAGCGCCCCCCGCAGCACAGCGGGGCCGUCCGCAGCUACGCCGGGGACCCCCGGCCCCUCGCCCCCCUGCCGGCCCCCCGGGAGGAGGAAGAGGAUGAGGAUGAAGAAGACGAAGCCCCGGUGCCCGCCGUCCUCGUCCUCCCCCUGCAGCACCCCCCUGGCUGCGCUUAAACCCCCUGAGCACCCGAAAUUUGGGGUGUGACGGGCUCAGGGCUGCGUUCCCCACGUUUUUCUCGCAGUUUGCCCAAAAUUUGGGCUUUUAAACUCAGAAUCUGCUCGCUGAGCCGCUCGAGUGCGGCGCUAACUGGGCCGUUUUUGGGUGUUCUCCCCCACUUUUGCCCACUUUUCCAAUGAAUCCAACCCAAACCCUUUGCUGUAAGCACCACCUGCUGCUGUUGCCACCCCACACCACAACCAACACCCAUUUUUGCUGUUUUUCACCCCAAAACUCCCCUUUUUUGUUAUGAGCCCUAAGUCAGGGGGUGUAGUGAGGAGCCACAGCACAAUUGGUGCAAAAAGGGGUGAAAACGGCCAACGUGGAGCACUCAAUCAUCAUAUUUGCAUUGUGGGGGGGGAGAAUGGGAAGGGAGGGGUGCGUGCUGCUAAAAAUGGACCCCAAAAUUUUGGGGGAAAAGGGGAAAAAGGAGCAGGGCGGGGCCGUAACCGCCUGUUUUUGCUCAGCAGGGCCCUGCUGCUGGGAACCCCCCCGGAGGGAGCGGAGCUGUGGGUUCAGGUAGGGAUGGGCCCUGCUAUUACACGCAUGUUACACACAUCACACGCAUGUUAUAUACAUGUUACACGCAUGUUACACGCAUGUCACAUGUUACACGCGUGUUCUGCCCCUCCACACGUCCCCUCUGCAGCCAGACGCGGUGCACACACGUGUCACAGGCUCACAUGCGUGUUAGAGACUCACAUGUCCCAGAGUCGUGGGUGUCACGGCCUCGGACACGCGUGUCACAGGCUCACAUACGUGUUAGAGGCUGCCACACCUGUUACAUGCCCCAGAUUCGUGUGUCCUGGCCCUGCACACGCGUGUCCCAGCCCAUACACGCGUGUCCCAGCCUGCACAUGCCUUCCACAUGCAUGUCCUGACCCCUACAUGCAUGUCCCAGCUCUCACACGCCUCCCACACACGUGUUCCAGCCCAUGCACACCUCCCACAUGUGUCCCAGCCCAUGCACGCGUGUCCCAGCCUGCACACGCCUCCCCCACGCAUGUUCCAGCCCCACACACGCCUCCCACACGCGUGUCUCAGCCCACACAUGCCUCCCCCACGCCUCCCCCACGCAUGUCCUGGCCCCACACACGCGUGUCCCAGCCCGCACAUGCCUCCCACAUGCGUGUCACUGAUCUCCACAUGCCUCCUACACACGUGUCCUGGCCACACACACGCGUGUCCAAGCCUGCACACGCCUCCCACAUGCGUGUCCCAGCCCCCACACGCGUGUCCCAACCCGCACACGCCCCGCACACGCCUGUCCUUGACCUCCACACGCCUCCCCCACGCGUGUCCCGGCCCGCACACGCCUCCCCACGCGUGUCCUGGCCCCACACCCGUCUCAGGGCGCCGCCCCCGGCCCUGCUCCCCCUGCAGCACUGCGGACAAAAACCCGCAGCAGCGGCCGCACCCAAAACCCCCAGAAACCACCCCAAACCCCUUCCCCUCCCCCCCCACCACCUCAGCGCCCCCCAAAUCCCCUUUUUUCACCCCGUUUNNNNNNNNNNNNNNNNNNNNNNNNNNNNNNNNNNNNNNNNNNNNNNNNNNNNNNNNNNNNNNNNNNNNNNNNNNNNNNNNNNNNNNNNNNNNNNNNNNNNUUUGGUUUUGGGGCGGUUUUCCCCAAAAGCGGCGACUUUGGCAACGCUUCCCCCUCCCCUCUCCCCCUUCCCCCAAAUCGAGGUUCAUCCUUUUGACCCCAAAUCGGGGAAAACCAAAGGUUGGUGUUUUAAUUUUUAA
RNAcentral lists this long non-coding RNA (2278 nucleotides) under Anas platyrhynchos platyrhynchos (common mallard). RNAcentral describes it as "lncRNA (ENSAPLG00000028252.1)". The record is from RNAcentral. Lineage: Eukaryota; Metazoa; Chordata; Aves; Anseriformes; Anatidae.